RNAcentral lists this long non-coding RNA (585 nucleotides) under Mytilus galloprovincialis (Mediterranean mussel). Lineage: Eukaryota; Metazoa; Mollusca; Bivalvia; Mytilida; Mytilidae. The record is from RNAcentral.
CACGUUGUUUUGUGAAGUUUUAAUACAUGUAUGCCCUGCUGACUGCAAAUUUUGAGGUCAAUUGGACUUGUAGUUUCAGAGUAUAUCAGAUAACAACCAUGUGAUAUUUUUUUUCAGAAGAGAUCUAUGUAAAUACAAUAUUAAAGAGAAAAAAAACCCGGAGUUGUCGUUCUUCUCCGUUGAAAGGAUAGAUAGCACACAGCUUCAUUCAGCAGUUGUAAGUGGAGGGUAAAAACAAAUAAAGGGGGGGGGGGGGGGGGGGGGGAGGUCUCAGGCGAUCAUUUUUUUUUGAAUAAGAAACGGUACAUACGAAUGGUUAAAAACGCCGUUUUUACAAUAUGAAUCAAUUGCUUAAAAAAAAGCAAUUCAGUGUAAACGGUCUUCCCCCCACCCUAAGAAACAUGAUUGGUUGAUUAAUGUGUGUGUGUGUGUUUGUUUGUUUCUUUCUUUCUGCAAGGGGUUCAUAUUAUUAUAUGACCCAUGCCAAGAAAUCCUCGCUAAAAUUCCGGUCGACCUCCUACGGCAGUCAUUAGUAGCUAAAGAUUUGAUUUCAUUCAAGAAAUUAAUUUAUGACCUUCAUGUACG